RNAcentral lists this ribosomal RNA (253 nucleotides) under uncultured bacterium. Its description in RNAcentral is "partial 16S ribosomal RNA". It matches the Rfam family "Bacterial small subunit ribosomal RNA", at positions 524 to 776 of the family's 1533-position model. The record is from RNAcentral.
UACGUAGGGACCAAGCGUUGUUCGGAUUUACUGGGCGUAAAGGGCGCGUAGGCGGCGAAUCAAGUCAGCUGUGAAAUCUCCGAGCUUAACUCGGAACGGUCAGCUGAUACUGUUUUGCUAGAGUGCAGAAAGGGCAACCGGAAUUCUUGGUGUAGCGGUGAAAUGCGUAGAUAUCAAGAGGAACACCUGAGGCGAAGGCGGGUUGCUAGGCUGACACUGACGCUGAAGCGCGAAAGCCAGGGGAGCGAACGGG